CCUACGGGGGACAGCAGUGGGGAAUAUUGCGCAAUGGGCGAAAGCCUGACGCAGCGACGCCGCGUGAGGGAUGAAGGUCUUCGGAUCGUAAAGCUCUGUCAGCAGGGAAGAAGGGACACUGUGCUAAUCAGCAGUGAAUUGACGGUACCUGCAAAGGAAGCACCGGCUAACUCCGUGCCAGCAGCCGCGGUAAUACGGAGGGUGCGAGCGUUAAUCGGAAUUACUGGGCGUAAAGCGCACGUAGGCGGUAUGUCAAGUCAAGGGUGAAAUCCCCGCGCUCAACGUGGGAACUGCCUUUGAAACUGGCAAGCUGGAGUGUGUGAGAGGAGAGUGGAAUUCCAGGUGUAGGGGUGAAAUCCGUAGAUAUCUGGAGGAACAUCAGUGGCGAAGGCGACUAUCUGGCACAUAACUGACGCUGAGGAGCGAAAGCGUGGGUAGCAAACAGGAUUAGAUACCCGGGUAGUC
This 465-nucleotide ribosomal RNA is filed under the name uncultured bacterium. RNAcentral describes it as "partial 16S ribosomal RNA". It matches the Rfam family "Bacterial small subunit ribosomal RNA", at positions 338 to 795 of the family's 1533-position model. The record is from RNAcentral.